CGUCGAGUGGCGGACGGGUGAGUAAUACUUAGGAAUCUGCCCAUUAGUGGGGGACAACUCGGGGAAACUCGAGCUAAUACCGCAUACGCCCUACGGGGGAAAGCGGGGGAUCUUCGGACCUCGCGCUAAUGGAUGAGCCUAAGUCGGAUUAGCUUGUUGGUGGGGUAAAGGCUCACCAAGGCGACGAUCCGUAGCUGGUCUGAGAGGACGAUCAGCCACACUGGGACUGAGACACGGCCCAG
This 242-nucleotide ribosomal RNA is filed under the name uncultured bacterium. RNAcentral describes it as "partial 16S ribosomal RNA". It matches the Rfam family "Bacterial small subunit ribosomal RNA", at positions 89 to 334 of the family's 1533-position model. The record is from RNAcentral.